RNAcentral lists this small RNA (127 nucleotides) under Marmota monax (woodchuck). The record is from RNAcentral. Lineage: Eukaryota; Metazoa; Chordata; Mammalia; Rodentia; Sciuridae.
GCCAGGUGUGGUGGCACACGCCUGUCAUCCCAGCAGCUUGGGAGGCUGGGGCAGGAGGAUCUUGAGUACAAAGGCAGCCUCAGAAACUUAGUGAGGCCCUGAGCAACUUAGCAAAACCCUGUCUCAA